GGCGAUUUAGAAAUAGCAUUUCUAGCUAUCGACACAAUAGAAACCACAUGUAAAACAUUUUCAAAAAUUGAAAGAAAAUACAAGUAAAACCGAGAAUACACUCAAAUUCCAGGAAAGAGAAUCAUGAGGACUAUAGAUAGGUUGAGCUGUAGAUUUAAAUUCUUAUCCAACCUUUUUCAGUUGGUUUCUGGAGUCCUGUCUCCUGUAGAGUCAGUUUCAGUCAAUGCCAGUGCUCUUAUCUCUAAAAGGAGGGAGCCAUUUAAAGUUUAGUCUGAGUUUGUUUCCUUAGUUUUAAAUCUUUUCCUGGAUGAACACAUGAUUCACUUGUGUUAAUAAUUUGGACACCCGAAUUUCAGCCCCGUUUUUGAGCAUUAAAGGACCCAUAGGACGGACAUGUGUAAGCGUCUAUGGUGCUUGAAGUCAACAUUUCCCCAGGGGAAUUCGAUUUUCCCAUAAAACCUGUUCUUCCCAGGCUCCCGACUCAGUCUUUAAAGGCUUACACAAGAAGUGUCUGAGGCAUCUUAUGUCUGGAUGGAUGUGACAGCUGUCAAUCCGAUGGCUUAUGCUGUAGGCAGGAAAUCUGAGGUGAGACAUCUUGGAGAACUCUGGACUAGAACUAGGCACAGGAUAUCUGCCAGGGAAGAUGUGAAGUACCCGAGCACAGGUAACCAGCCACGUGGCAAUACGUAGGUUAAAAUGAAUGGGAUAGUUUGUUAGCGAUCUAGUCAGAGACGUGCCUAGCUAUAUGGCCAAGGUAUAUGUAAAUUAUAUUUUGAGUCUGAGUCUUAUUUCUGAGAGCAUGGGGCUGAGAGGAAGAACAGAAUGUAACAUUUACAAUCUCCCAUAAUUGUCUUCCCUUCUAGAUUCCGGUGCCAUGUUGUCCGGACCUCGACACUUAGGUUGCUUGUUCCCAUGGUUGUAAUUCAGGAGCCCUUGCAAACCUCAUCAUCUGCGUUCUAACCUCGUACUUUCCUUUCUUCUCCUCCCCUCAAAACAAGGUCGUGACGCUAUGUAGCUAUCCUGAAACUAUGUAGAUCAGGCUUGUCUUGAGCUCAGAGAGAUCCGUCUGCUUCUCCCAAGCGCUGGAAUUAAAAGUGUACAGCACUAUGCUCCUCCCUCUUGUUCCAUAAACCAUAAUUUCUAGUGCUACCAGAACUUUUCUAAAAGUUAAGUUUCAUCAUGUUUCUGCAGGGGAAAAAAGUUGUAUUGGUUUACCCUUAAAGGUGGCAAUUCAUCACAUCCUGGGAGGUCCAAAGCUCUAGGACAUAGGUCAUUGCGUUGGUUAAGUACAUCUUGGAGAGCAUUACGUUUUGAUGGAGUUGUAAAAUUUCAUUUUGUUUUAUAGGUGUAUGUCUGUGCGCCAAUGACAUGUUUGGGACCCACAGAAGCUGGAAAAGGGUGCUGGAUCUCCUGGAGCCUGAGUUACACAUGGCUUGUGAGCCACCAUGUGGGUGAUGGGAAUUGAACCCAGGUCCUCUAGAAAAGCAGCCAAUACACUUAAUUAACCACGGAGUCAUCUCUCCAGCAUCUGCUAACCCAAGUAAUUUCUUUUAAAGAAAGACAAUGGAGUAGUUCAAAAGAGCUCUUUAUAUUGCUCAAAAUUACCCGCGAAAGAGCACUGUGCACAGUAAAUACCGAAUGCAUAUGCACUGCUUUAAUCAAUGUGCUGUAGACUAGAGCAAUCAAGUCGAAAAACAAAAGCAUUAUGGAACCGUGCUUUCCCUAGUGACGCUGUCUAAAAGGCCGUAACUGGCAAACGAAAGGACCACACUUCAGUCCUAACUCUCAAAGCACACAGUAAAUGUGGCAGAGAUGCUGGUGAAGUCGUUGAGGCAGUACUUCCUGAGCAUUUCCCAUUUGGAACUGUUCAUAGUAUUUUCAGUCAUGUUUGAGGUUGUGAUAGAGUAUUGUUUUAAUAUUUUUACCUCAAUAGCCCAACUUUGUACUAACUUAGAUUUAGCUCUGUGCUAAACGGAAAUACUAUCAUUACUUUCUACAUAUAUUAAAAUUAAUGUAUAUAGUUGUAAUUAAAGAUAUUUAUGUCUGAGGGUUCUUAAGAAUUAUGUAUUACCCCCAACUUCACCAUGGCUUGGGAGUAACUAAUAUAUAACAUUGUAUUUUUUUUGUUUAAUGUCAACUUCAGUUAAAGCCUGCAUGGUUUAGGGAUUACAAAUGAUAUCUGGUUUGGCAUCUAGGUUUUUGUUUGUUCUCUGUUUCUUUAUUUGGAGAUGUUUGGGGUUAAAUGCAAAUCUUUGUGGAUGCAAGUCUUCUAUCUUUGAGCUAUGCCUCCUGCCCACUGUCAUCUGGUUUUAUGACUUAUGGUCUAAUUUUGUAUAUUUGUCUCUUUAUGGAAAUUCCAAGCAUGAAUAUUUUCAUAGAUCUCAUACAAGUGGCCUGCCUUUUUCUUAAACAACACUCUCCCCCAACCACCCACAUACAGUAGAAGUCCACUAAUAAAAUAUAGGAUAUUUCUAAUUUU
Molecule: long non-coding RNA, 2479 nt
Filed under: Mus musculus (house mouse)
Lineage: Eukaryota; Metazoa; Chordata; Mammalia; Rodentia; Muridae
Description: expressed sequence AW046200
Source: RNAcentral